Molecule: ribosomal RNA, 127 nt
Filed under: Propithecus coquereli (Coquerel's sifaka)
Lineage: Eukaryota; Metazoa; Chordata; Mammalia; Primates; Indriidae
Source: RNAcentral
AUCUAUGGCCAUACCAUCUUGAAUGUGCCUGAUCUUGUCUGUCUUGGAAGCUAAGCAGGGUCGGGCCUGGUUAGCACUUGGAUGGGAGACACAAACCAUCAAUGGGCGGGAACCAGAGCCAAAAAAU